This 475-nucleotide ribosomal RNA is filed under the name uncultured bacterium. RNAcentral's name for it is "bacterial SSU rRNA". It matches the Rfam family "Bacterial small subunit ribosomal RNA", at positions 28 to 518 of the family's 1533-position model. The record is from RNAcentral.
GACGAACGCUGGCGGCGUGCUUAACACAUGCAAGUCGAACGAUGAAGCUGGAGCUUGCUCCAGUGGAUUAGUGGCGAACGGGUGAGUAACACGUGAGCAAUCUGCCCUUGACUCUGGGAUAACUGCGGGAAACUGUAGCUAAUACCGGAUACGACACCUUGGGGCAUCCCAGGGUGUGGAAAGAAUUUCGGUCAAGGAUGAGCUCGCGGCCUAUCAGCUAGUUGGUGAGGUAAUGGCUCACCAAGGCGACGACGGGUAGCCGGCCUGAGAGGGUGACCGGCCACACUGGAACUGAGACACGGUCCAGACUCCUACGGGAGGCAGCAGUGGGGAAUAUUGCACAAUGGACGAAAGUCUGAUGCAGCAACGCCGCGUGGAGGAUGACACAUUUCGGUGCGUAAACUCCUUUUAUAUAAGAAGAUAAUGACGGUAUUAUAUGAAUAAGCAACCGGCUAAACUCCGUGCCAGCAGCCGC